UAUCCUCUGCGGUGCUCGGCAACACACUUCAUAUUGCCUUGACCCGUUAAUGUCGGCCCCCGGGACGGCAACUGGAGUCCGGUGUGCAGGUCCGCCCUGGUAGCGGAAAGCCUUAAGGAACCACGAGCCUUCCCCCCUGUGAUACAGGGAUCAAGGUCGUCGAUGUGUACCGGCACGGCGGAGGAUGC
RNAcentral lists this non-coding RNA (188 nucleotides) under Pseudofulvimonas gallinarii. RNAcentral describes it as "6S / SsrS RNA". It matches the Rfam family "6S / SsrS RNA". From Rfam's summary of the family: E. coli 6S RNA was the first non coding RNA to be sequenced, but its function was unknown until recently. It consists of 184 nucleotides that fold into an extended hairpin structure with a large single-stranded internal bulge. The record is from Rfam by way of RNAcentral. Lineage: Bacteria; Pseudomonadati; Pseudomonadota; Gammaproteobacteria; Lysobacterales; Rhodanobacteraceae.